Molecule: ribosomal RNA, 484 nt
Filed under: uncultured bacterium
Lineage: Bacteria
Description: bacterial SSU rRNA
Rfam family: Bacterial small subunit ribosomal RNA
Source: RNAcentral
AGAGUUUGAUCCUGGCUCAGAGUGAACGCUGGCGGCAGGCCUAACACAUGCAUGUCGAACGGCAGCACAGCAGUAGCAAUACUGUGGGUGGCGAGUGGCGGACGGGUGAGGAAUGCGUCGGAAUCUGCCUAUUUGUGGGGGAUAACGUAGGGAAACUUACGCUAAUACCGCAUACGACCUACGGGUGAAAGUGGGGGACCUUUGGGCCUCACGCAGAUAGAUGAGCCGACGCCGGAUUAGCUAGUUGGCGGGGUAAAGGCCCACCAAGGCGACGAUCCGUAGCUGGUCUGAGAGGAUGAUCAGCCACACUGGGGCUGAGACACGGCCCAGACUCCUACGGGAGGCAGCAGUGGGGAAUAUUGGACAAUGGGCGCAAGCCUGAUCCAGCCAUGCCGCGUGUGUGAAGAAGGCCUUCGGGUUGUAAAGCACUUUUGUCCGGAAAGAAAUCCUUUCGAUUAAUACUCGGGAGGGAUGACGGUACCGG